This 485-nucleotide long non-coding RNA is filed under the name Panicum hallii. RNAcentral's name for it is "long non-coding RNA (PHAL_LNC000827)". Lineage: Eukaryota; Viridiplantae; Streptophyta; Magnoliopsida; Poales; Poaceae. The record is from RNAcentral.
GUCGAUCGGCCUCUAAAUGGAGUUUUAUGCUAAUGUGGUUGCUUUGACAGAUGGAGGAAAUACAUCAUGCUACAACAUAAACAUGUUUUUUUCUUAUUACAAUAUUGUCACGAACAGGGCGAAGCAGCAAGUUACAAAUAAUAAUUGAAAGAUCGAAGCAUACAGAUGGUGUAUAUGAUAGAUGAAGCAGCCAUCUGUGUCACCCCGCUGAAGCUACAGCCUAGCUACUACUACUAGCAGGCCGUCCGAGAGAACGACAAGCUAGCUAGCCUUCUCGAUCGCUCACAAAACAAAACGACAAUAGACACACAUGCAAUCGAUCGAGAAGAAGACAUGCAACAAAAUGAUCCCCAGGACUAGUGGUCGUCGCCAUGCAUGAAAUCCUUUACGAUCUCGCUGACAAAUGCAGCGAUGGCGCUACCUGCAAUUAUGCUCCACAAACCUGUUCGUGGUGACGGAGCGGGGGACGGAGCGGGGGCCUCCGG